CUUCCUCUCCUUCCUCUCUUCCUUCCCUUUCUUUUCGUAUUUUUGCUUGAGGCUGUCGGUGACGAGUGUCGCCGAUUUUUGGUCGGAAAAGAUCCCUGUUUUGGGCCAUUUUUCCUUGGAUUUUCCGGCGCCGGCGAUCGAAAUCGACCGCCGGCCCUGCUCCUCCGUAACCGGGGGAGCAGUCUCCCUCUGCCGCCGGUCUCCGCCGCAGCGGCCGCGGCCUGAACGGCCGGUC
Molecule: long non-coding RNA, 235 nt
Filed under: Elaeis guineensis (African oil palm)
Lineage: Eukaryota; Viridiplantae; Streptophyta; Magnoliopsida; Arecales; Arecaceae
Description: long non-coding RNA (EGUI_LNC039128)
Source: RNAcentral